Molecule: ribosomal RNA, 253 nt
Filed under: uncultured bacterium
Lineage: Bacteria
Description: partial 16S ribosomal RNA
Rfam family: Bacterial small subunit ribosomal RNA
Source: RNAcentral
UACGGAGGGUGCAAACGUUGCUCGGAAUCAUUGGGCGUAAAGCGCACGUAGGCGGUUUGUUAAGUCGGAUGUGAAAGCCCCGGGCUCAACCCGGGAAGUGCAUACGAAACUGGCGGACUUGAAUAUGGAAGAGGGUCGCGGAAUUCCCGGUGUAGAGGUGAAAUUCGUAGAUAUCGGGAGGAACACCAGUGGCGAAGGCGGCGACCUGGGCCAAUAUUGACGCUGAGGUGCGAAAGCGUGGGGAGCAAACAGG